RNAcentral lists this ribosomal RNA (253 nucleotides) under uncultured bacterium. RNAcentral's name for it is "partial 16S ribosomal RNA". It matches the Rfam family "Bacterial small subunit ribosomal RNA", at positions 524 to 776 of the family's 1533-position model. The record is from RNAcentral.
UACGUAGGUGGCAAGCGUUGUCCGGAUUUACUGGGCGUAAAGAGCGCGCCGGCGGUCGCUCAAGUCGCGUGUGAAAGCCCCCGGCUCAACUGGGGAGGGUCACGCGAUACUGAUCGACUGGAAGGCAGGAGAGGGUAGUGGAAUUCCCGGUGUAGUGGUGAAAUGCGUAGAUAUCGGGAGGAACACCGGUGGCGAAGGCGGUUCGCUGGGCCUGUACUGACGCUGAGGAGCGAAAGCGUGGGGAGCGAACAGG